UGGGGAAUUUUGGACAAUGGGCGAAAGCCUGAUCCAGCCAUGCCGCGUGAGUGAAGAAGGCCUUCGGGUUGUAAAGCUCUUUUAGUCGGAAAGAAAGAGUUGCAAUGAAUAAUUGUGAUUUAUGACGGUACCGACAGAAAAAGCACCGGCUAACUACGUGCCAGCAGCCGCGGUAAUACGUAGGGUGCGAGCGUUAAUCGGAAUUACUGGGCGUAAAGGGUGCGCAGGCGGUCUUGCAAGUCAGAUGUGAAAGCCCCGGGCUUAACCUGGGAAUUGCGUAUGAAACUACAAGACUAGAGUGCAGCAGAGGGGAGUGGAAUUCCGUGUGUAGCAGUUAAAUGCGUAGAGAUGUGGAAGAACACCGAUGGCGAAGGCAGCUCCCUGGGUUGACACUGACGCUCAUGCACGAAAGCGUGGGGAGCAAACA
RNAcentral lists this ribosomal RNA (427 nucleotides) under uncultured bacterium. Its description in RNAcentral is "bacterial SSU rRNA". It matches the Rfam family "Bacterial small subunit ribosomal RNA", at positions 355 to 774 of the family's 1533-position model. The record is from RNAcentral.